This 819-nucleotide ribosomal RNA is filed under the name uncultured bacterium. Its description in RNAcentral is "bacterial SSU rRNA". It matches the Rfam family "Bacterial small subunit ribosomal RNA", at positions 627 to 1446 of the family's 1533-position model. The record is from RNAcentral.
UGGAAACUGUNUGACUUGAGUGCAGAAGGGGAGAGUGGAAUNCCAUGUGUAGCGGUGAAAUGCGUAGAUAUAUGGAGGANCACCAGUGGCGAAAGCGGCUCUCUGNUCUGUCACUGACGCUGAGGCUCAAAAGCGUGGGUAGCGAACAGGAUUAGAUACCCUGGUAGUCCACGCCGUAAACGAUGAGUGCUAGGUGUUAGGCCCNUUCCGGGGCUUAGUGCCGGAGCUAACGCAAUAAGCACUCCGCCUGGGGAGUACGACCGCAAGGUUGAAACUCAAAGGAAUUGACGGGGGCCCGCACAAGCGGUGGAGCAUGUGGUUUAAUUCGAAGCAACGCGAAGAACCUUACCAGGUCUUGACAUCCCGAUGCUAUUCUUAGAGAUAGGAAGUUACUUCGGUACAUCGGAGACAGGUGGUGCAUGGUUGUCGUCAGCUCGUGUCGUGAGAUGUUGGGUUAAGUCCCGCAACGAGCGCAACCCUUAUUGUUAGUUGCCAUCAUUAAGUUGGGCACUCUAGCGAGACUGCCGGUAAUAAACCGGAGGAAGGUGGGGAUGACGUCAAAUCAUCAUGCCCCUUAUGACCUGGGCUACACACGUGCUACAAUGGUCGGUACAACGAGUUGCGAGCCGGUGACGGCAAGCUAAUCUCUGAAAGCCGAUCUCAGUUCGGAUUGGAGGCUGCAACUCGCCUCCAUGAAGUCGGAAUCGCUAGUAAUCGCGGAUCAGCACGCCACGGUGAAUACGUUCCCGGGCCUUGUACACACCGCCCGUCACACCACGAGAGUUUGUAACACCCGAAGUCGGUGAGGUANCCUUUUAG